Molecule: long non-coding RNA, 206 nt
Filed under: Solanum tuberosum (potato)
Lineage: Eukaryota; Viridiplantae; Streptophyta; Magnoliopsida; Solanales; Solanaceae
Description: long non-coding RNA (STUB_LNC001894)
Source: RNAcentral
UGCGUUCUUUAUCCUAUUUCGAUUCGAUUUAGCUUUCUUUUAGUUGCUAUGUCUUUAUUUUGAAGAAAGGUGGAUCUAUAGGGGAAAGGAUAAAUAUAUAGUAUCAAUAAUAAGAUAGUUUGAUUUUCUUGUUUGCAUAUGUGUAUUGUCUAAUCUAUGAGAAUCAAGUUGUUCCCCUUCCGUAAACGCAUAUAGGGAAUUGGGCC